This 253-nucleotide ribosomal RNA is filed under the name uncultured bacterium. RNAcentral describes it as "partial 16S ribosomal RNA". It matches the Rfam family "Bacterial small subunit ribosomal RNA", at positions 524 to 776 of the family's 1533-position model. The record is from RNAcentral.
UACGUAGGUGGCAAGCGUUAUCCGGAAUUAUUGGGUGUAAAGGGUGCGUAGACGGGAAAACAAGUUAGUUGUGAAAUCCCUCGGCUUAACUGAGGAACUGCAACUAAAACUAUUUUUCUUGAGUGCAGGAGAGGUAAGUGGAAUUCCUAGUGUAGCGGUGAAAUGCGUAGAUAUUAGGAGGAACACCAGUGGCGAAGGCGACUUACUGGACUGUAACUGACGUUGAGGCACGAAAGUGUGGGGAGCAAACAGG